GACCGUGUAGCUCAGUUGGAAGAGCAUUGGGCUAGUAUUCCAAAGGUCGUAGGUUCGAAUCCCACCAUGGCCA
Non-coding RNA from Paramuricea clavata, 73 nucleotides. Lineage: Eukaryota; Metazoa; Cnidaria; Anthozoa; Malacalcyonacea; Plexauridae. The record is from the annotation of a GenBank genome assembly.